CGCAGCCGCGGUAAUUCCAGCUCCAAUAGCGUAUAUUAAAGUUGUUGCAGUUAAAAAGCUCGUAGUUGAAUUUCGGGGUUAGUAGGUUGGUCAUGCCUCUGGUAUGUACUGGUCUCACUGAUUCCUCCUUCCUGAUGAACCUUAAUGCCAUUAAUUUGGUGUUUUGGGGAAUUUGGACUGUUACUUUGAAAAAAUUGAGUGUUUAAAGCAAGCUAACGCUUGAAUACAUUAGCAUGGAAUAAUGAAAUAGGACGUUCGAUCCUAUUUUGUUGGUUUCUAGGAUUGACGUAAUGAUUAAUAGGGAUAGUUGGGGGCAUUAGUAUUCAAUUGUCAGAGGUGAAAUUCUUGGAUUUAUUGAAGACUAACUACUGCGAAAGCAUUUGCCAAGGAUGUUUUCAUUAAUCAAGAACGAAAGUUAGGGAUCGAAGACGAUCAGAUACCGUCGUAGUCUUAACCAUAACUAUGCCGACUAGGGAUCGGAUGAUGUUAAUUUUUAAUGUACUCAUUCGGCGCCUUACGG
Molecule: ribosomal RNA, 520 nt
Filed under: uncultured Glomus
Lineage: Eukaryota; Fungi; Glomeromycota; Glomeromycetes; Glomerales; Glomeraceae
Description: SSU rRNA
Rfam family: Eukaryotic small subunit ribosomal RNA
Source: RNAcentral